AGUCGAACGAAGCGCCUGCGGCGGACCCCUCCGGGGGAAAGCCGCAGGGGACUGAGUGGCGGACGGGUGAGCAACGCGUGGGCAACCUGCCCCGUACCGGGGGACAACAGCCGGAAACGGCUGCUAAUACCGCAUAUUCCCGCGGGGCCGCAUGGCCCUGCGGGGAAAGCUCCGGCAGUACGGGAUGGGCCCGCGUCUGAUUAGCUUGUUGGCGGGGUAACGGCCCACCAAGGCUGCGAUCAGUAGCCGGCCUGAGAGGGCGGCCGGCCACAUUGGGACUGAGACACGGCCCAGACUCCUGCGGGAGGCAGCAGUGGGGGAUAUUGCACAAUGGGGGGAACCCUGAUGCAGCGACGCCGCGUGAACGAAGAAAUAUUUCGGUAUGUAAAGUUCUAUCAGCAGGGAAGAAAAUGACAGUACCUGACCAAGAAGCCCCGGCUAACUACGUGCCAGCAGCCGCGGCAAUACGUAGGGGGCGAGCGUUAUCCGGAUUCACUGGGCGUAAAGGGAGCGCAGGCGGCACGGCAAGUCCGGUGUGAAAGCCCGGGGCCCAACCCCGGGACUGCACUGGAAACUGCCGGGCUGGAGUGUCGGAGGGGCAGGCGGAAUUCCUAGUGUAGCGGUGAAAUGCGUAGAUAUU
RNAcentral lists this ribosomal RNA (640 nucleotides) under uncultured bacterium. RNAcentral's name for it is "bacterial SSU rRNA". It matches the Rfam family "Bacterial small subunit ribosomal RNA", at positions 60 to 698 of the family's 1533-position model. The record is from RNAcentral.